UACGAAGGGGGCUAGCGUUGUUCGGAUUUACUGGGCGUAAAGCGCACGUAGGCGGAUCGUUAAGUCGGGGGUGAAAUCCUGGAGCUCAACUCCAGAACUGCCUUCGAUACUGGCGAUCUUGAGUCCGGAAGAGGUGAGUGGAACUCCUAGUGUAGAGGUGGAAUUCGUAGAUAUUAGGAGGAACACCAGUGGCGAAGGCGGCUCACUGGUCCGGUACUGACGCUGAGGUGCGAAAGCGUGGGGAGCAAACAGG
This 253-nucleotide ribosomal RNA is filed under the name uncultured bacterium. RNAcentral describes it as "partial 16S ribosomal RNA". It matches the Rfam family "Bacterial small subunit ribosomal RNA", at positions 524 to 776 of the family's 1533-position model. The record is from RNAcentral.